GAUGAACGCUGGCGGCGUGCCUAAUACAUGCAAGUCGAGCGAAUGGAUUAAGAGCUUGCUCUUAUGAAGUUAGCGGCGGACGGGUGAGUAACACGUGGGUAACCUGCCCAUAAGACUAGGAUAACUCCGGGAAACCGGGGCUAAUACCGGAUAACAUUUUGAACCGCAUGGUUCGAAAUUGAAAGGCGGCUUCGGCUGUCACUUAUGGAUGGACCCGCGUCUCAUUAGCUGGUUGGUGAGGUAACGGCUCACUAAGGCAACGAUGCGUAGCCUACCUGAGAGGGUGAUCGGCCACACUGGGACUGAGACCCGGCCCAGACUCCUACGGGAGGCAGCAGUAGGGAAUCUUCCGCAAUGGACGAAAGUCUGACGGAGCAACGCCGCGUGAGUGAUGAAGGCUUUCGGGUCGUAAAACUCUGUUGUUAGGGAAGAACAAGUGCUAGUUGAAUAAGCUGGCACCUUGACGGUACCUAACCAGAAAGCCACGGCUAACUACGUGCCAGCAGCCGCCGUAA
This 515-nucleotide ribosomal RNA is filed under the name uncultured bacterium. RNAcentral's name for it is "partial 16S ribosomal RNA". It matches the Rfam family "Bacterial small subunit ribosomal RNA", at positions 28 to 523 of the family's 1533-position model. The record is from RNAcentral.